This is a long non-coding RNA of Vitis vinifera (wine grape), 2244 nucleotides long. RefSeq lists it as uncharacterized. The transcript has 11 exons. Lineage: Eukaryota; Viridiplantae; Streptophyta; Magnoliopsida; Vitales; Vitaceae. The record is from RefSeq and is a predicted model, not a curated record.
GGGAGUGCUCUCCAAAGAGAAGAAAAGAGGAUAGCUCUCCAAAAUGUACACACACACUUCACUUUGGACUGAAUUUUGGGAGGCAAGAGAAGAACUCAUUGAUCCCUCAUUCUCAAACCAUCACGCACCAGAAAGUAGCUUAUUGGAUAUCAGAGGAGAAGAAAUGGCUUCCCAUGGCAUGAACCAAGCUUGUAGUCAUUGCUCUAGUGACAAUGACAGUGUUUAAACGCACACAGAUGACUGUUGAUAUGGUUCACUCAAAUUACUACAUGGGCUCACUGUUUUAUUCUGCCAUUAGACUUAUGACCAACGGAUUAGCAGAGCUGCCAUUGACUGGUUCCAGACUUCCAAUCCUUUACAAGCAAAGAGAUCUAUACUUCUAUCCAGCAUGGAGUUAUACUGUUCCAGCUGCAAUUCUAAAGAUUCCAUUUUCAUUCCUAGAUGCUGUUCUUUGGACAGCUCUCACCUAUUAUGCUAUUAGUUACAGUCCUGAACCAGAAAGGUGACGUCUCCAGUUUCGCAAGCCCAUUUUAUUGCUUCUGUUGUACGAGAUCCAUCUGCUGCAGUAUCUUUCAAUGUCUCUACUUUGCUAGUAAUGUAUCUAUUUGGAGGUUUCAUAAUUUCGAACCCUCUUUACCUGCCUGGUUGGAGUGGGGAUUUUGGAUUUCUCCUCUAACAUAUACACAAAUAGGUGCUUCACUAAAUGAAUUCCAUGCUCCAAGGUGGGAAAAGGUUUCAUCUUCAAAUGCUACUAUGGGGCAACAAUUUCUAAGAAGCCAUGGUCUAAAUUUUAGUGACUACUUUUAAUGGAUACCAGCAGGGGUACUACUCGGGUUUUGGAUAGUUUUCAACAUCGGGUUUACAUUUGCUCUUAGCUCCAGGGAGGUCUCAGACUACCAUUUCUCACCAAAGGGUAUCUAAGCUGAAAGGAGAAGAUUCAACGAAUAUGACUCAUGGACAAGAAUUGCCUCAUGUUGGUACUUCCAAUGAUGUUUCAGAAAGAAAAAAGAAGGGGAUCGUUUUACCGUUUGAGCCCAUAGCAAUAUCCUUUGAGAAUGUGCAAGACUAUGUUGACACUCCAAAGGUAGCCUCAUUAUCCAUUGAAUCCGUAUUUUCCUAGGCUGCUGGACAAUUUUAAGUUGGUCGAAUUUCUUCCAUACAUCUCCCAGAAACUGAGAGAGCAAGGUUUUGCACAAAAAAGACUACAGCUUCUUCAAGAUAUUUCUGGCUUUCUGGAAGAAAAACGAGUGGUAUAAUUGAAGGAGAGACUAGAAUUGGAGGAUAUCCUAAGGUCCAAGAAACCUAUGCCCGGAUAUCUGCUUACUGUGAGUAAACUGACAUACAUUCUCCACAGAUUACAAUAGAAGAAUCAGUGACAUACUCAGCUUGGUUACGGUUGCCAUCAGAGAUUGACAAAAAUACAAAAUCUAAUUCCUUCAAAUGAUUGAGCUUGAUGAAAUGAGCAGCGAAAAAGGCUAACCAUAGCCGUGGAACUUAAUUGUUUCCAAUCCAUCCAUAAUAUUAAUGGAUGAGCCCACCUCAGGUCUGGAUGCCAGAGCAGCUGCAAUCGUCAUGCGAGUAGUGAAGAAUGUUGUUAAUACAAUGCGAACAGUCGUAUACACCGAGCAUCGACAUAUUUGAGACAUUCAAUGAGUUAAUUUUGAUGAAAAGAGGAGGAAGAAUAAUAUAUGCUGGAGAGUUGGGAAAGCAUUCAAGCAAACUAAUACAGUAUUUUGAGGAAAUUCCUGGGGUGCCCAAAUUCAAUGCAAACCGGAACCCUGCAACAUGGAUGUUAGAGGUUACUGGUCCAUCAGCAGAAGCUCAACUUGGUUCAGAUUUUGCCUAUCUCUACAACAAGUCUCAUUUAUGUUGCAAAUUCCAAAAUGGAGGGUUUGGAGUUACUGGAUUUGUCCAAUGGUAUGGUCCUUAAAAGCUCUGGUCACUUCACAAUAUGGAGAUAUAAAAAAGGAAAUAUCAGUAUUUGGAGAACCCAAAUCAAUCAGUGCCUUCUUAAAAAGCUACUAUGGGUAUCACCAUGAGAAGUUAGGUGUUGCAGCAUUUGUUCUUUUUUCUCUUCCACUAGUCUUUGCAUUAGCUUUUGCAUUUUUUAUUGCAAAACUCAACUUCCAGAGGAGGUAAACAUGUUCAUCACUCCUUUGUAAGCCAUUUGUCUGAACUCUUAAUUUUGACAAAGACUGUUUCAGACCUUCAGUUUCAAAAUAGAAAAUAAAAAAUUGGAUGAUU